RNAcentral lists this non-coding RNA (46 nucleotides) under Schistosoma curassoni. Lineage: Eukaryota; Metazoa; Platyhelminthes; Trematoda; Strigeidida; Schistosomatidae. The record is from RNAcentral.
GCGCUGCUGAGGGGUCCCAAAACAGGACGAAACGGCUGUCCAACAC